This 310-nucleotide ribosomal RNA is filed under the name uncultured bacterium. RNAcentral's name for it is "bacterial SSU rRNA". It matches the Rfam family "Bacterial small subunit ribosomal RNA", at positions 29 to 334 of the family's 1533-position model. The record is from RNAcentral.
AGUGAACGCUGGCGGCAGGCUUAACACAUGCAAGUCGAGCGGAAACGAUGGUAGCUUGCUACCAGGCGUCGAGCGGCGGACGGGUGAGUAACGCGUGGGAAUUUGCCUAGUAGUGGGGGAUAGCCCAGAGAAAUUUGGAUUAAUACCGCAUAAUCUCUACGGAGUAAAGGUGGCCUCCCCUUGGAAGCUACCGCUAUUAGAUAAGCCCGCGUCAGAUUAGCUUGUUGGUGAGGUAAUGGCUCACCAAGGCAACGAUCUGUAGCUGGUCUGAGAGGAUGACCAGUCACACUGGAACUGAGACACGGUCCAG